UCUUAAUGCUACCAUGAGUUUUCGUGUACAAGUUUAAUCGUCUGUCUUAUUUAAAUUUUUUAUAAUUAGUAUUUUUAUUGUUAUGAGAUUAUUUAUAUUUACUUUACUAGUGACUUAUGUUUUUAAUUUUUUUAAAAUUUUCUUUAAAUAAGCUGGAUGAUCACAAGUUUAACGCGGAAAACAUGGCUGUA
This 191-nucleotide microRNA precursor is filed under the name Oryza meridionalis. RNAcentral describes it as "MIR812 microRNA precursor family". It matches the Rfam family "MIR812 microRNA precursor family". Lineage: Eukaryota; Viridiplantae; Streptophyta; Magnoliopsida; Poales; Poaceae. The record is from Rfam by way of RNAcentral.